UGGCGGACGGGUGAGUAACGCGUGGAAAACCUGCCGUAUACUGGGGGAUAACACUUAGAAAUAGGUGCUAAUACCGCAUAAGUGCACAGCUUCGCAUGAAGCGGUGUGAAAAACUCUGGUGGUAUACGAUGGUUCCGCGUCUGAUUAGCUAGUUGGUGGGGUAAUGGCCUACCAAGGCAACGAUCAGUAGCCGGCCUGAGAGGGUGAACGGCCACAUUGGGACUGAGACACGGCCCAAACUCCUACGGGAGGCAGCAG
RNAcentral lists this ribosomal RNA (258 nucleotides) under uncultured bacterium. Its description in RNAcentral is "partial 16S ribosomal RNA". It matches the Rfam family "Bacterial small subunit ribosomal RNA", at positions 96 to 354 of the family's 1533-position model. The record is from RNAcentral.